AUUGAACGCUGGCGGCAUGCCUUACACAUGCAAGUCGAACGGCAGCACGGGAGCAAUCCUGGUGGCGAGUGGCGAACGGGUGAGUAAUACAUCGGAACGUGCCCAAUCGUGGGGGAUAACGCAGCGAAAGCUGUGCUAAUACCGCAUACGAUCUACGGAUGAAAGCAGGGGACCGCAAGGCCUUGCGCGAAUGGAGCGGCCGAUGGCAGAUUAGGUAGUUGGUGGGGUAAAGGCUCACCAAGCCAACGAUCUGUAGCUGGUCUGAGAGGACGACCAGCCACACUGGGACUGAGACACGGCCCAGACUCCUACGGGAGGCAGCAGUGGGGAAUUUUGGACAAUGGGCGCAAGCCUGAUCCAGCCAUGCCGCGUGCAGGAUGAAGGCCUUCGGGUUGUAAACUGCUUUUGUACGGAACGAAACGGCCUUUUCUAAUAAAGAGGGCUAAUGACGGUACCGUAAGAAUAAGCACCGGCUAACUACGU
RNAcentral lists this ribosomal RNA (483 nucleotides) under uncultured bacterium. RNAcentral describes it as "partial 16S ribosomal RNA". It matches the Rfam family "Bacterial small subunit ribosomal RNA", at positions 30 to 506 of the family's 1533-position model. The record is from RNAcentral.